RNAcentral lists this unclassified non-coding RNA (395 nucleotides) under soil metagenome. RNAcentral describes it as "partial contains 5.8S ribosomal RNA, internal transcribed spacer 2, and large subunit ribosomal RNA". The stretch from base 1 to 122 matches the Rfam family "5.8S ribosomal RNA", at positions 35 to 154 of the family's 154-position model. The record is from RNAcentral.
GAUGAAGAACGUAUCGAAAUGCGAUACUUGGUGUGAAUUGCAGAAUCCCGUGAACCAUCGAGUCUUUGAACGCAAGUUGCGCCCGAAGCCAUCAGGUUGAGGGCACGUCUGCCUGGGCGUCACAUAUCGUUGCCCAAUGCCUAUUGCAGUGCAAUAGGAAUUUCUAGGGCGAAUGAUGGCUUCCCGUGAGCGUUGUUGCCUCGCGGUUGGUUGAAAAUCGAGUCCUUGGUAGGGUGUGCCAUGGUAGAUGGUGGUCGAGUUAGAACGAUACCGAUCAUGUGCAUGCUCCCCAAAAUAUGGCCUCUAUGACCCACACGCGUCUUUUGACGCUCAUGACGAGACCUCAGGUCAGGCGGGGCUACCCGCUGAAUUUAAGCAUAUCAAUAAGCGGAGGA